RNAcentral lists this ribosomal RNA (254 nucleotides) under uncultured bacterium. Its description in RNAcentral is "partial 16S ribosomal RNA". It matches the Rfam family "Bacterial small subunit ribosomal RNA", at positions 524 to 776 of the family's 1533-position model. The record is from RNAcentral.
UACGAAGGGGGCUAGCGUUGCUCGGAAUUACUGGGCGUAAAGCGCACGUAGGCGGCUUUCUAAGUCGGGGGUGAAAUCCUGGAGCUCAACUCCAGAACUGCCUUCGAUACUGGAAAGCUCGAGUCCGGGAGAGGUGAGUGGAACUGCGAGUGUAGAGGUGAAAUUCGUAGAUAUUCGCAAGAACACCAGUGGCGAAGGCGGCUCACUGGCCCGGUACUGACGCUGAGGUGCGAAAGCGGUGGGGAGCAAACAGG